RNAcentral lists this unclassified non-coding RNA (329 nucleotides) under soil metagenome. RNAcentral's name for it is "partial contains 5.8S ribosomal RNA, internal transcribed spacer 2, and large subunit ribosomal RNA". The stretch from base 1 to 120 matches the Rfam family "5.8S ribosomal RNA", at positions 35 to 154 of the family's 154-position model. The record is from RNAcentral.
GAUGAAGAACGUAGCGAAAUGCGAUAAGUAAUGUGAAUUGCAGAAUUCAGUGAAUCAUCGAAUCUUUGAACGCACAUUGCGCCCCUUGGUAUUCCGAGGGGCAUGCCUGUUCGAGCGUCAUUAUAACCCCUCAAGCUCAGCUUGGUGUUGGGGCCUGCUGCACUGGCAGCCCUUAAAAUCAGUGGCGGCGCCAUCUGGCUCUAAGCGUAGUAAUUCUUCUCGCUAUGGAGUCCUGGUGGAUGCUUGCCAUCAACCCCCAAUUUUUCUAUGGUUGACCUCGGAUCAGGUAGGGAUACCCGCUGAACUUAAGCAUAUCAAUAAGCGCAGGA